GGAGGCUUCGCCUAGUCUGGUCUAUGGCGCCGCACUGCUAAUGCGGUUUGGGUUUUAAAGCCCAUCGAGGGUUCAAAUCCCUCAGCCUCCG
RNAcentral lists this transfer RNA (91 nucleotides) under Streptomyces mangrovi. RNAcentral's name for it is "tRNA_Ser_GCT". It matches the Rfam family "tRNA". From Rfam's summary of the family: Transfer RNA (tRNA) molecules are approximately 80 nucleotides in length. Their secondary structure includes four short double-helical elements and three loops (D, anti-codon, and T loops). RNAcentral also lists the same sequence under 2 other names. Lineage: Bacteria; Bacillati; Actinomycetota; Actinomycetes; Kitasatosporales; Streptomycetaceae. The record is from RNAcentral.